This 236-nucleotide ribosomal RNA is filed under the name uncultured bacterium. RNAcentral's name for it is "partial 16S ribosomal RNA". It matches the Rfam family "Bacterial small subunit ribosomal RNA", at positions 100 to 334 of the family's 1533-position model. The record is from RNAcentral.
CGGGACGGGUGAGUAACGCGUGGGUAACCUGCCUCAUACAGGGGGAUAACAGUUAGAAAUGACUGCCAAUACCGCAUAAGCGCACAGUACCGCAUGGUACCGUGUGAAAAACUCUGGUGGUAUGAGAUGGACCCGCGUCUGAUUAGCUAGUUGGUGAGGUAACGGCCCACCAAGGCGACGAUCAGUAGCCGACCUGAGAGGGUGACCGACCACAUUGGGACUGAGACACGGCCCAA